CGAAGCUGGACUGCCCUCCUCAUCACCAUGAAGAUACCAAAAUAAGCUCUCAACAGAGAAGACCUUGAUGCUUUUCAAAUGGUAAAUUUGAAAUAAAUUUUUUUAUUAAAAUAAAAAUCCCACCUAAACUUGAUACAAGACUUUCAGCCAACUAUUAAACAGUUGUAAAUGCACAAUUCAAAGAGAAAAGCCUCAGAAGUAGAAAAUAGCUGGCAAAUGUUCUGUAGCUAUUGGCAUGUGAGUAAACUUACUCUCCCUUUCUUUAAAAACGGGGUCAUGAUUUGUUCUGGUCUGUGGCUUAGAUAUAGCAGAAAGGGUGUUGGUUGACUGUGAGAAUCCAGUACACUGAGACAUUGUCAGGGUGAAAAAGUCUGCAAACUGAAGACCAUCCCAGGCUGGUUGAUGUGGGGGCGUUAAGGUUUUUGCCUUUUAGUGACCCUGGAGGACUCUACCCACUUAGAGUAAGAUAGACCUUCGGCAAUGGGGAAAUGGCUACCUGCACUUUCAAGUUUCCCAGAAGCUAACUCAGGCUUCUACUCCUGGCAUACUCAGCAAAAAUGUGGAGCAACUCUCAGGACUCACAGCAGAUUGCCUCCCUCAACAGUGGCAAUACGUCCUGAUCUGCGUGGCACAGUCCUAGAUUAUCAUUAUUGCCCGAGCAUAAUUAUUAAUGUGGUCCCCUUACAUUCUCAAGAGCAGGGUGGACUCAGAAUUUGUGAAACCUGAAGAUUAUAUAAUUGAGGAAACUCUGAGAAAAUAAAACGCAAUUUUGAAUACAAAAUGAUAUGCAAAAGUAAAUACAUAUGGGAGCAAAUGAAAAUUGAAGCUAGAUUGCAUAUCCUUCUCUUAAAUGAUAAUUUAUAUACUCACCGUAUUUGAGGACACUCAUCACGUGUCCAACACUGUGCUAAGCAUUUUGUGUAUGUUAUUUUAUCCUCAUAACAACUUAUGGGCAAGUAUUUUGAUUCCCAUUUUUAAAAAAAUAAAAUGAUGAAAUUGAGGCUCAAGACUUGGAGAUGAAAGCUACCCAGCUAGGCAGCAAUGGAAAUGGCAGCAGAAGUCUAGGUGCAUGACCAUGGUCUUAUCCACUAUGCACUGAGGAGGGUUGAAUGUGGGCAGGGUGAGUGGAAGAAAGAAAGAAAACAGUGACAGAGAAGGGGACAGCUGUAAAAGACAUUGAAAAAGAGGAAUUGAGAGAAUUGGGAGCAAGCUAGGCUUAAGAGGGAAGAAAAGAUUGGCAGGGUUUACUCUGAGGUUUUGAGCUUGUGGGACUACAGAACAAUGAUAACUUUGACAGAAAUAAAAAAGUCCAGAGAGGGAGAAAUUGGGGGCAGGAGCGGGGAGAAGGGAUUGAGCUCAAUUUCAAACAUGCCCAGUUUGGACCUCAUAAUCCCAGGAGUAAUAGCCAGGGAGACCACAGUGCCAGCAGUCCAAUAACCCACGGGCAGAGAUGCAGAGGAAAAGUCAAGUGUUGCAACAGACAAAGGAGAAGCUGGAAGGAAGUGAGAAACAUCAGGUUUAAAUUUUCCCAGGCUUGAAUUUUGAGAACUUUUUCUUACAAGAAGCCAUUUCAAUCAUGCAUGCUUACUGAUGGUGGGGUGUGAAUUGUAUUUGCUCACCACUGCCUGGUUCAAUUUAGUCUUCGGAGAUUAAAUAUUAUUCCCCC
Molecule: long non-coding RNA, 1666 nt
Filed under: Papio anubis (olive baboon)
Lineage: Eukaryota; Metazoa; Chordata; Mammalia; Primates; Cercopithecidae
Description: lncRNA (ENSPANG00000037109.1)
Source: RNAcentral